RNAcentral lists this ribosomal RNA (1072 nucleotides) under Dactylaria monticola. RNAcentral describes it as "SSU rRNA". It matches the Rfam family "Eukaryotic small subunit ribosomal RNA", at positions 54 to 1131 of the family's 1831-position model. The record is from RNAcentral. Lineage: Eukaryota; Fungi; Ascomycota; Leotiomycetes; Helotiales.
CAUGUCUAUAAGUAUAAGCAAUUAUACCGCGAAACUGCGAAUGGCUCAUUAAAUCAGUUAUCGUUUAUUUGAUAGUACCUUACUACUUGGAUAACCGUGGUAAUUCUAGAGCUAAUACAUGCUAAAAACCCCGACUCACGAAGGGGUGUAUUUAUUAGAUUAAAAACCAAUGCCCUUCUGGGCUUUCUGGUGAUUCAUAAUAACUUCUCGAAUCGCAUGGCCUUGCGCCGGCGAUGGUUCAUUCAAAUUUCUGCCCUAUCAACUUUCGAUGGCAGGGUCUUGGCCUGCCAUGGUUACAACGGGUAACGGAGGGUUAGGGCUCGACCCCGGAGAAGGAGCCUGAGAAACGGCUACUACAUCCAAGGAAGGCAGCAGGCGCGCAAAUUACCCAAUCCCGAUUCGGGGAGGUAGUGACAAUAAAUACUGAUACAGGGCUCUUUUGGGUCUUGUAAUUGGAAUGAGUACAAUUUAAAUCCCUUAACGAGGAACAAUUGGAGGGCAAGUCUGGUGCCAGCAGCCGCGGUAAUUCCAGCUCCAAUAGCGUAUAUUAAAGUUGUUGCAGUUAAAAAGCUCGUAGUUGAACCUUGGGCCUGGCUGGCCGGUCCGCCUCACCGCGUGCACUGGUUCGGCCGGGCCUUUCCCUCUGGGGAGCCGCAUGCUCUUCACUGAGUGUGUCGGGGAACCAGGACUUUUACUGUGAAAAAAUUAGAGUGUUCAAAGCAGGCCUAUGCUCGAAUACAUUAGCAUGGAAUAAUAGAAUAGGACGUGUGGUUCUAUUUUGUUGGUUUCUAGGACCGCCGUAAUGAUUAAUAGGGACAGUCGGGGGCAUCAGUAUUCAAUUGUCAGAGGUGAAAUUCUUGGAUUUAUUGAAGACUAACUACUGCGAAAGCAUUUGCCAAGGAUGUUUUCAUUAAUCAGUGAACGAAAGUUAGGGGAUCGAAGACGAUCAGAUACCGUCGUAGUCUUAACCAUAAACUAUGCCGACUAGGGAUCGGACGAUUGUUAAUUUUUUGACUCGUUCGGCACCUUACGAGAAAUCAAAGUCUUUGGGUUCUGGGGGGGAGUAUGGUCG